GAUGAACGCUGGCGGCGUGCCUCAAACAUGCAAGUCGAGCGGGGCUAUGUAAUAUCGCAAGGUAGAACAUAGCCUAGCGGCGAACGGGUGAGUAACACGUGGGUAACCUGCCUGGAAGACAGGGAUAACGAUUCGAAAGGGUCGCUAAUACCUGAUAAUAUCCUUUCAUUCGCAUGGUGAUAGGAAGAAAGGGGAAACCCGCUUUCAGAUGGGCCCGCGUCCCAUCAGCUAGUUGGUAAGGUAAAGGCUUACCAAGGCGACGACGGGUAGCCGGUCUGAGAGGAUGUACGGCCACACUGGGACUGAGAUACGGCCCAGACUCCUACGGGAGGCAGCAGUUGGGAAUCUUAGGCAAUGGACGAAAGUCUGACCUAGCGACGCCGCGUGAGGGAAGAAGGCCUUCGGGUUGUAAACCUCUGUCAUGGGGGAAGAAGUAAGUGACGGUACCCCAAGAGGAAGCCCCUGCUAACUACGUG
Molecule: ribosomal RNA, 476 nt
Filed under: uncultured bacterium
Lineage: Bacteria
Description: bacterial SSU rRNA
Rfam family: Bacterial small subunit ribosomal RNA
Source: RNAcentral